UGGUUUUCCAGGCAAAUCCGGAAAAUCAAGGCUGAGGCGUGACGACGAGGCACUACGGUGCUGAAGCAACAAAUGCCCUGCUUCCAGGAAAAGCCUCUAAGCAUCAGGUAACAUCAAAUCGUACCCCAAACCGACACAGGUGGUCAGGUAGAGAAUACCAAGGCGCUUGAGAGAACUCGGGUGAAGGAACUAGGCAAAAUGGUGCCGUAACUUCGGGAGAAGGCACGCUGACACGUAGGUGAAGUGAUUUACUCAUGGAGCUGAAGUCAGUCGAAGAUACCAGCUGGCUGCAACUGUUUAUUAAAAACACAGCACUGUGCAAACACGAAAGUGGACGUAUACGGUGUGACGCCUGCCCGGUGCCGGAAGGUUAAUUGAUGGGGUCAGCGCAAGCGAAGCUCCUGAUCGAAGCCCCGGUAAACGGCGGCCGUAACUAUAACGGUCCUAAGGUAGCGAAAUUCCUUGUCGGGUAAGUUCCGACCUGCACGAAUGGCGUAAUGAUGGCCAGGCUGUCUCCACCCGAGACUCAGUGAAAUUGAACUCGCUGUGAAGAUGCAGUGUACCCGCGGCAAGACGGAAAGACCCCGUGAACCUUUACUAUAGCUUGACACUGAACAUUGAGCCUUGAUGUGUAGGAUAGGUGGGAGGCUUUGAAGCGUGGACGCCAGUCUGCGUGGAGCCGACCUUGAAAUACCACCCUUUAAUGUUUGAUGUUCUAACGUGGACCCGUAAUCCGGGUUGCGGACAGUGUCUGGUGGGUAGUUUGACUGGGGCGGUCUCCUCCUAAAGAGUAACGGAGGAGCACGAAGGUUGGCUAAUCCUGGUCGGACAUCAGGAGGUUAGUGCAAUGGCAUAAGCCAGCUUGACUGCGAGCGUGACGGCGCGAGCAGGUGCGAAAGCAGGUCAUAGUGAUCCGGUGGUUCUGAAUGGAAGGGCCAUCGCUCAACGGAUAAAAGGUACUCCGGGGAUAACAGGCUGAUACCGCCCAAGAGUUCAUAUCGACGGCGGUGUUUGGCACCUCGAUGUCGGCUCAUCACAUCCUGGGGCUGAAGUAGGUCCCAAGGGUAUGGCUGUUCGCCAUUUAAAGUGGUACGCGAGCUGGGUUUAGAACGUCGUGAGACAGUUCGGUCCCUAUCUGCCGUGGGCGCUGGAGAACUGAGGGGGGCUGCUCCUAGUACGAGAGGACCGGAGUGGACGCAUCACUGGUGUUCGGGUUGUCAUGCCAAUGGCACUGCCCGGUAGCUAAAUGCGGAAGAGAUAAGUGCUGAAAGCAUCUAAGCACGAAACUUGCCCCGA
This 1296-nucleotide ribosomal RNA is filed under the name Salmonella enterica subsp. enterica serovar Bareilly. Its description in RNAcentral is "partial 23S ribosomal RNA". It matches the Rfam family "Bacterial large subunit ribosomal RNA", at positions 1525 to 2802 of the family's 2925-position model. Lineage: Bacteria; Pseudomonadati; Pseudomonadota; Gammaproteobacteria; Enterobacterales; Enterobacteriaceae. The record is from RNAcentral.